Long non-coding RNA from Cyanistes caeruleus (blue tit), 1344 nucleotides. RefSeq lists it as uncharacterized. NCBI's taxonomy places the organism in Eukaryota, Metazoa, Chordata, Aves, Passeriformes, Paridae. The record is from RefSeq and is a predicted model, not a curated record.
GCCGGCUCCGGCAGCGCCGGCUCCUGGGGGCGGCCCCCGGAGGAAGGCGAGGGCUGGAGAUACCUGAAAAAACCCUUCUUGGCACACUAGAAGCUGAAUCAUGUUCCCAUUUACCAAGACAGCCCUGUACAAGGACUCGGUGAAAGGCCUGACCUUUGCAUUUCUGGAUCUCCUGCAAUACAGAGCAGCUCGCUGACCACAGAGUGCUUCUCGCCACAUAAAACUUCCCUUCAGUCCCAUAAAACUGGCACUUGUGGAUCUCUGCCACCUUCUCCCAGAACUCAUCAAAGGGCAUUACAGGCUAUCCUGAGCUGGAAGGGACCCACAAGGAUCAUCAACUCCUUCCUUACAGCAUGGAUUUAUGACAAGAUCAUGUUGCAUUACAAGCAUCUCUCGUUGUUCCUUCGAGGUCUGCUCUGCUUGGGAGACAUCCUAUUUUUUUUCUUGGUCUAUGACAAACUCUGGGCUUAAAGCAGCCUUAAAGACUUUGUUUCUCUCUGAAUACAGCUGGCAGGACCCCAAUGAAGCAGAGAACUUAGAGCAGAGGGCCCUGACAGAGAGGUGCACAUCGUGUUUUGACACAGGGUCCUGUCUCUACUCACCAGAUUUACUAUAAAAGCUGGGCAGGAAUUAUUUUCUGAUGUGCAGCAUGCAGGAGCAUGAUAAAGUAUUUCAAGGACACAGCCUGAGCAGACAAAAAUGGUUUAAAGAAAAUCCUCUUGCAUUUUGAGGGCACCACCUACAAGGACUCCCCAUCAAACAAAAACACAGUUGCAAGAACUUCUCAGGUAGUUCAUCAACCCCUUGAGGCUUAUGUUAGUUAGAGUGCUAGAUUUUUACCCUUAUUUACUGACCUGAUGAGUUAAAAUACUGGUGUUUGCUUUAAUCAACAAUUUAAUGAAUGUUUCAUCCUAACUAAACCAGUAUUAAUUACCAUAUACCAUCCUAGAUUAGCAGAGAAAAAUAGAAAUCAAGAUGUUUCAUGGUUUCAAAUGGUUGUAUAAAUGUUCCUGCUGGUAGCUUAUGUGGACUUGAUUUAAGGUUUAUGGUAAAUUCUUCCCUUAUUCCUGAAAACCCCAAAGCAACAUUCUGUCAGAUCUACCAACUUUGCCUGGCCUGGGGAAAAAAGCUGUAAAUUAGCAUUUAUUCCUAGUUGCACUAUAAACCCAGAUUUAUAUGAAGAUUUACAGGCUUCAGCAAGUCUGGAUAAGCAUGGCAUGAAAAGAGGUUUAUAAAAAAACUCCAUUUUAAGUAGAAGUCAUCCUGGUCCAUGAAGUUUUUGAGGCAAAGUUAUUUUUCAGUGACAAAUGCUCUUAUGAAAAUAAAGUGUGGAUCCUUCUUAAA